Long non-coding RNA from Mastomys coucha (southern multimammate mouse), 270 nucleotides. RefSeq lists it as uncharacterized. The transcript has 2 exons. The record is from RefSeq and is a predicted model, not a curated record. Lineage: Eukaryota; Metazoa; Chordata; Mammalia; Rodentia; Muridae.
AUUAAAGAGGCUUUUCUAGGGAGCAGAGAUGGCCCUGGGGCAGGAAACAUUUAUUGAUCAUUUAAAUGAGGUCCUGGAAUGCUGGGAGCUGAGACAAAGCUUUCUCCCCUUGAGCCUUCCCUGGAGGAUUCAUGACUGAUGCUAUCCAGGCCGGAGGAGAGCGCCUCGCAGGUGGUGGCUCAGGUCUGGCCACACCUUGAUGAAUUGCUCUCGUUUCCUAUUCUUGCACUGUAGAGUAACCAGUUGGAUAACUCUCUCUGUUCUUAUGUG